AGAGCGAACGCUGGCGGCAGGCUUAACACAUGCAAGUCGAGCGGGCGUAGCAAUACGUCAGCGGCAGACGGGUGAGUAACGCGUGGGAACAUACCUUUUGGUUCGGAACAACCCAGGGAAACUUGGGCUAAAUACCGGAUAAGCCCUUACGGGGAAAGAUUUAUCGCCGAAAGAUUGGCCCGCGUCUGAUUAGCUAGUUGGUGAGGUAACGGCUCACCAAGGCGACGAUCAGUAGCUGGUCUGAGAGGAUGAUCAGCCACAUUGGGACUGAGACACGGCCCAAACUCCUACGGGAGGCAGCAGUGGGGAAUAUUGGACAAUGGGCGCAAGCCUGAUCCAGCCAUGCCGCGUGAGUGAUGAAGGCCCUAGGGUUGUAAAGCUCUUUUGUGCGGGAAGAUAAUGACGGUACCGCAAGAAUAAGCCCCGGCUAACUUCGCGCCAGCAGCCGC
Molecule: ribosomal RNA, 449 nt
Filed under: uncultured bacterium
Lineage: Bacteria
Description: SSU rRNA
Rfam family: Bacterial small subunit ribosomal RNA
Source: RNAcentral